GACUCCAGUGGACUAGUGGUUAGAGCGUCCGCCUUGGAUGCGAGAGGUAGCGGGUUCGAACCCGGCUGAGUCA
Potamilus streckersoni is the source of this 73-nucleotide non-coding RNA. The record is from the annotation of a GenBank genome assembly. Lineage: Eukaryota; Metazoa; Mollusca; Bivalvia; Unionida; Unionidae.